GAGUUUGAUCGUGGCUCAGGAUGAACGCUGGCGGCGUGCCUAAUACAUGCAAGUCGAGCGGACGGACGAGAAGCUUGCUUCUCUGAUGUUAGCGGCGGACGGGUGAGUAACACGUGGAUAACCUACCUAUAAGACUGGGAUAACUUCGGGAAACCGGAGCUAAUACCGGAUAAUAUUUUGAACCGCAUGGUUCAAAAGUGAAAGACGGUCUUGCUGUCACUUAUAGAUGGAUCCGCGCUGCAUUAGCUAGUUGGUAAGGUAACGGCUUACCAAGGCAACGAUGCAUAGCCGACCUGAGAGGGUGAUCGGCCACACCGGAACUGAGACACGGUCCAGACUCCUACGGGAGGCAGCAGUAGGGAAUCUUCCGCAAUGGGCGAAAGCCUGACGGAGCAACGCCGCGUGAGUGAUGAAGGUCUUCGGAUCGUGAAACUCUGUUAUUAGGGAAGAACAUAUGUGUAAGUAACUGUGCACAUCUUGACGGUACCUAAUCAGAAAGCCACGGCUAACUACGUCG
RNAcentral lists this ribosomal RNA (517 nucleotides) under uncultured microorganism. RNAcentral's name for it is "bacterial SSU rRNA". It matches the Rfam family "Bacterial small subunit ribosomal RNA", at positions 9 to 508 of the family's 1533-position model. The record is from RNAcentral.